RNAcentral lists this ribosomal RNA (253 nucleotides) under uncultured bacterium. Its description in RNAcentral is "partial 16S ribosomal RNA". It matches the Rfam family "Bacterial small subunit ribosomal RNA", at positions 524 to 776 of the family's 1533-position model. The record is from RNAcentral.
UACAGAGGUCUCAAGCGUUGAUCGGAUUCAUUGGGCGUAAAGGGUGCGUAGGUGGCGCGGUAAGUCGGGUGUGAAAUUUCGGAGCUUAACUCCGAAACUGCAUUCGAUACUGCCGUGCUUGAGGACUGGAGAGGAGACUGGAAUUUACGGUGUAGCAGUGAAAUGCGUAGAGAUCGUAAGGAAGACCAGUGGCGAAGGCGGGUCUCUGGACAGUUCCUGACACUGAGGCACGAAGGCCAGGGGAGCAAACGGG